Molecule: ribosomal RNA, 509 nt
Filed under: uncultured bacterium
Lineage: Bacteria
Description: bacterial SSU rRNA
Rfam family: Bacterial small subunit ribosomal RNA
Source: RNAcentral
UUAGAGUUUGAUCAUGGCUCAGGACGAACGCUGGCGGCGUGCUUAACACAUGCAAGUCGAGCGGAAAGGCCCACUUGUGGGUACUCGAGCGGCGAACGGGUGAGUAACACGUGAGUAAUCUGCCCUUCACUUUUGGAUAGCCACCGGAAACGGUGAUUAAUACGGAAUAUUCAUGCAUGAUCGCAUGGUUGUGUGUGGAAACUUUUUUGGGUGGGGGAUGUGCUCGCGGCCUAUCAGCUUGAUGGUGGGGUAAUGGCCUACCAUGGCUUUGACGGGUAGCCGGCCUGAGAGGGUGACCGGCCACACUGGGACUGAGACACGGCCCAGACUCCUACGGGAGGCAGCAGUGGGGAAUAUUGGACAAUGGGCGGAAGCCUGAUCCAGCAACGCCGCGUGAGGGAUGACGGCCUUCGGGUUGUAAACCUCUUUCAUCUCCGACGAAGCGUGAGUGACGGUAGGGGAAGAAGAAGAACCGGCCAACUACGUGCCAGCAGCCGCGGUAAUACGCC